This 7950-nucleotide long non-coding RNA is filed under the name Vitis vinifera (wine grape). RNAcentral's name for it is "long non-coding RNA (VVIN_LNC004786)". Lineage: Eukaryota; Viridiplantae; Streptophyta; Magnoliopsida; Vitales; Vitaceae. The record is from RNAcentral.
AAUAUUAAGGUGACAAGAAUGAGUAAAGGAAAGAACUCCCCCUGGUACACCUUGUUCUUAAGGUUGCUGUCUUCCUUCUUCAGUUCAUCUGCAGGGAGUGGAACUAAAUCGUUGCACACUGGGCCGGAGGUGGCAAUGGUAGCUGCUGCUAAGCAUUUCUCCUCUGCUCACAAAAUAAAAAUGGGCUAGCUUCCAUUGAUGAUGGAGGUCAUCUCUAUUAUUGCUUCCUUGUUGUUAAAAAUAGAAGUUAAAGGUUGUCCCAAGUGGGCCUCAAGAAUCAUUCGAAUUCAUUUUGAAAAUUUAAAUGGUUAGUGUUUAUGUUGAUUUGGAGGAAAAGGAUACACCUAAUCCUGGUGUGAAAAAGGAAGAAAAUGAAAUAAAUAUAAAGAAAAACACAAGUCUUAAAUUCAGACUUGUCAGAAGAAAAAUCAACAUUAGGUCCAAAUUUUGAAGGGAGAGGGGAAGCUAAAGUUUCUUGUGAGUGAGGAAAGUGGGCCUGGCCUAGCCUUGUGGUCAAAAUUCAAAACUCAAAAGAGAGCUCUUCUGUUCCUCUAAGAUUUCCUUCGUCACAAUCAACUCCCACACCCCCAAAUAUAAUAUAAGCUUGUAAGCAGAGAGGACGGAGGAUAGUGUUGGGAUAUUUAUAGGUGAAUGAAAAUUAAGGCAUAUAGUUUCAAUUAGACANCAACUCUUUCUAAUGGNNNNNNNNNNNNNNNNNNNNNNNNNNNNNNNNNNNNNNNNNNNNNNNNNNNNNNNNNNNNNNNNNNNNNNNNNNNNNNNNNNNNNNNNNNNNNNNNNNNNUUUUAAGCAGAGAGGACGGAGGAUAGUGUUGGGAUAUUUAUAGGUGAAUGAAAAUUAAGGCAUAUAGUUUCAAUUAGACACAACUCUUUCUAAUGGAUACAACUUGUGUCAAAGGAUAUGUCAAGUAUUUAAGACGCUCUUCUAAAAGUCACCAAAAAACCUAUAAAUAAGGCCCCAAUGACAUUUCUCAUUCAUUCCAUCAUCAAUUGAGUUCAAGUCAUUUAAGUGAUUCGUUGUUUUUUGUGAUUUUGAGUGCUACUAUUACAAGAAAGUAAUCAUUGUAUCUUGGGAGACGAUUGUCAACAAACCGUAAGCAUUAGUAUAAGGCAAAUUUGUCUUAAAGAUAUAAAGUCAAACUUUAGCCUCGAUCAACCGUUUGUAAAAUUCAAUAUUUACUUACCUUGUCAUUUAUUUAUUAUACAUAAUUAUUUGACCAUACAUUCUUGAUAAUUCAAGAAUAACAUAUAGAACCCAUAGGGCCAGACCCAAUAAGAAGAAAGGAAGCAGUGCUCACGGCUUAGCCAUUUACUUGGCUCGAAAGAGAGAGAAGAAGUUGUUUCCAUCUUUUCAUCUUUUCAAUUAAUAAGCAUUAGAAGUCAAGUUGGUGCACCUUAUUCUUGAGGUUGGUGUCUUUGUGUUGUGAGGAUCCAUGAAUUGAAGAGCCCAACAGCUGUGGGACGCACCCUCCCAGAGGCAGCCAUGGUUGCUGCUCCUAAGCAUCUCCUCUCCUCAUAAAAUCCCAAUAUGCUAGCUUCACAGGCCUGAUCGAGAUUUUGUGCUUCAGUUUUUUUUUUUCCCAAAAAUUUCAAGCAUUAAUAGUAAACACAAUUCAAAAUUUUAUUAAUUCGAGGAUCGGCUAUAAUUUCUAUCUUUCUUGAACUCUUAUUUUUGUACACCAAAGGAAAUAUCGCCUACUUGAUGUUUGCUUUGAAAUUAGAACAUCUUUCAAAUUAAAAGCUUUUGGGACUUUAUGAAUGACUUUGAAUGUGCUCUUCAUAGACUUCAAAUCUUCAAACUUUUUCUCCCUUAACUUAUUUUAAAGUUGAGAGAGAAUAUUGAAUGACGUAUUUAUAAUGUUUUGUAAAACAAAAGUAUAUUGGUAAUUUAAAAUAUUUUUAAUCAUAUUUUAAAAAUAAUUUUUAUUUGUAAUAUUUUAUUUUUAAUUAUUAUUCAUAUUUAUAUAAUUAUUUUUUAAAAAUAAUUCUCAAAAGAACAAGUCAAAAUUAUCAAAAACAAUUAAAAGAUAUUUUUGAAAAUAAUAUAUUUUUAAUUUUUAAAGAGUAGAAAAUUAUUUUCAAAAAAUAAUUGUCAAAUAAGGUCAUAUAGAUUUUUUUAUUGACAUUGUACUAAAUAAACUAGAAAGAAUUCUUUAUAGUUUAUUUACUAUCAAUGUGUGUUAUUCCUAAACUCUACAUAUUAUGAAAUUCUUUAAUGUAAUACCUACUAUCUUUUACUUUUUCCUGAUCAAGGACUUUCGUAAUUCCUUUACCGUAUUUAUUUGACUAAUACAUUAUAUAGUAUAUUGUUUAAACUAUCAAAGAUCUUGUUUAUGCAUAUGCGAUAAAAAUGAUUCCAAGUUUCGGAACUUCCUAUUUGGGCAUUACUUUCACCCUCAUUUGAAACGAGGGCAUCUUCGUAUAAGACUUCAGCAAGAUUUCGAGUUGAAAAGUAGAAUAAUAUUUUUUGUCAAAACCUCUUGAAGUCCAUUCCAAUUAUAAACCUCUAGCCUCUCACCAUAAGCAACAUGCCAUGAUGAUUAAAUAAUAAAAAUAAAUUUGUUAUAAGACUAUUGUAAAUUAUGAAAAGUAUAUAGACUAAUAAUUGUAUAAAAUAAAUAAAGCAAAUAGAAAUUAAUUCACAAAUAAGGUUGAUGAGUUUGACUUCGUAUCCUUAAGACGAAUUUGCCCGAUUUAGGUACUUGUUUAGUAGUAAUUGUCUCUUAAGAUACAAUGAUUAUUUACUUCAAAUCACUCAAUGUUCUAUGCUCUGGAAAAAUCUUGAAUCAAGGUUUCAAUUCAUCUUGUAUGAGAAGCCUGUCAUUGUUAACUGGGCCUUUUGACUAUUGACAUGGUGAGGUGCCCAAGCUCCAUAAAAGAUAGAGAUACAUCUGAGUCCUGUAUGACCUCUAAUCAGAUAUUUUGAGCUUCUGAUCUCCAAUCUCUGUGUUUUUUUUUUCUUGUUGGGGUUACCUCAACGUUGGAUGACGACACACAACUGGGCUUUGGAUGAUGGGCCAUAUCGAUCUCGAUUGAGACAAAUCACAUGAUUUUUGAGGUAAAUGGUAGUCUAAACUUUCUUGUUGAACAAGAGGGUCAGAAAAGUACGGCGGUCAAAAGCGAAGUCCCACGAGUUUCUGAGCUGUUUCCCUUUCUAGUCUUGAGCCUCCAAUACAAGCUUGAAACCCAAGAAAUCUCAGCUAUAUAAACAGCAGAGAACAUAGAAUCCAAUCACAAGAAGCAAGCAAACUACCAAGAAGUUGAGUACUCGCCCAUCUACUUGCUCCAAUCAGUGAGAAGAAUUGUCUCAUCAUCUGUCCAUUUUUCUGUGUUUAGGAAAUAUUAAGGUAGACAAGAAUGAGUAAUGGAAAGAACUCCGCCUGGUACACCUUGUUCUUAAGGUUUCUGUCUUCCUGCUUCAGUUCAUCUGCAGGGAGUGGAACUAAAUCCUUGCACACUGGGCCAGAGGCGGCAAUGAUAGGUGCUGCUAAGCAUUUCUCCUCUGCUCACAAAAUAAAAAUGGGCUAGCUUCCAUUGAUGAUGGGCAGUUUUUCAGGAGUAAUGCUAGUGUCUCUGGAUGAUGAAGUCUCUCCUAUAAGAUCCCAUGUACAAAUGCUCUAUCUCAUUGGAUGUGUCUGAGAAUGAUCAAUGCAGAGGUUGAAUAACUGCAAAUUUUGGGUUAGGAAUGGCCUAGCCACCAUUCCCAAUCCUCCCAAUUUCGCAGACACAGGAAGAAUCAUAUAAUCUUCCUAAAAACACUCAUGGGUGCAGGUUGAUUUUUCUGUUGUUGAAAUUUCAAAUUGUUUUAGGAGGCAUUGUAUAGCAGUUUGUAUUUGAAUUGUUGUGAUACUUUUCUACCCUUUGUGAAUAAACAUUUCAUAUUUAUUAAAAAGCCUUCCAAUUCAUUUUGAAAUUUUAAAUGGUAAGUGUUUAUGUUGAUUUGAAGGAAAAGCAUACCCUAAUCCUGGUCUUAAAAAGUAAGAAAGAAAAUCACAAGCAUUAAAUUCAGACUUGUUAAAAGAAAAGUCAACAUUAGGUCCACAUUUUGAAGGCACAGGGGAAGCUAAAACUGCUUGUGAGAGAGGCAAGUGGGCCUGGCCUGGCCUAGCAUUGUGGUCAAACUCAAAACUCAAAAGAGGUCUUCUGUUUUUGAACUAUUUCCUUUGUCACAGUCCAAGAGCCAUCACCCAAGUAUUGGGGUAAAAAUUCACGCAUAGUACGAAUUGUAACUCUUGGAAUUCAUGCAUAUAGCCUAUCCUUUUGAAGUCCUAAACUCCUAACUAUGAAAUUCUCUAAUCAAUAUCCUCUAUCUUAUAUUUUUCCUUGAGGAUUCUCAUAGUUCCUUUACAAUGAGCAAGAUUUAGAUGGUAUUUGUUUUUUUACUUAAUUCUAAAUAGAACGUUAAUGCUUAAUAGUGUUAAAUAUUAUAUUGUUUGUUUUUGUAAUAUUUUAUUUCUAUUAAGUAUUAAAAAGUAAAAAAAAUUAAUAUGUUAUUUUUUCUAUUUAGAAAAAAGCUACAUAUUUUGGUGUGUUUGUUUUUUUACUUAAUUCUAAAUAGAACCUUAAUGCUUAAUAGUGUUAAUAUUAGGUUGUUUAUUUUUGUAGUAUUUUAUUUCUAUUAAGUAUUAAAAAGUAAAAAAAACCAAUAUGUUAUUUUUUCUAUUUAGAAAAAGUUACAUAUUUUGGUUUUUUCUAUUUAGUAAAAAGUUUAUAAUAAGUCAUGAAAAAGUAGAAAAACAAACAAUUUAAAUUCUAAAACUAAAUUGCUUUUAUAAAAAAGUCAAAAAAACAAACACCAUAUUGAUUUUUUUAUUUAGUAAAAAGUUUAUAAUAAGUUAUGAAAAAAUAGAAAAACAAACAACUUAAAUUCUAAAACUAAAUCACUUUCAGUAAAAAGCCAGAAAAACAAAUACCACCUUGUGAGGUAGCACAACAUUCUUUGUUGCCAGUUCUUCAAGUUCAUUUUACUAAACUUUUCUAGCUUUUCACCAUAAACAGCCAAAGUAAUCAAAUAGUAAAAAUGAAUUUGUUAGAAGACUGUUAAAAAUGAAUUUGAGGUAAAUGACAGUCUAAAUUUUCUUGUUAAACAAGAAAGUCAGAAAAGGAUGGUGGUCAAAAGCGAAGUCUUCCCAGUUUCUGAGCUAUUUCCUUUUCCACGGUCUUGAGUCCGCUGCCCACAUGCUCAAAUACAAGCUUGAACCCCAAGAAAUCUCAGCUAUAUAAACAGCAGAGAACAUGGAAGCCAAUCACAAGAAACAAGCAAACUACCAAGAAGUUGAGUACUCGUCCAUCUACUUGCUCCAAUCAGUGAGAAGAAUUGUCUCAUCAUCUGUCCAUUUUUCUGAGUUUAGAAAAUAUUAAGGUAGACAAGAAUGAGUAAAGGAAAGAACUCCGCCUGGUACACCUUGUUCUUAAGGUUGCUGUCUUCCUUCUUCAGUUCAUCUGCAGGGAGUGGAACUAAAUCCUUGCAUACUGGGCCGGAGGCAGCAAUGGUAGCCGCUGCUAAGCAUUUCUCCUCUGCUCACAAAAUAAAAAUGGGCUAGCUUCCAUUGAUGAUGGGCGGUUUUUCAGGAGUAAUGCUAGUCUCUCUGGAUGAUGAAGUCUCUCCUACAAGAUCCCAUGCACAAAUUCUCUAUCUCGUUGAGAAUUUUCAAUGCAGAAGUUGAACAACUGCAGAUUAGAUAUCAACCAUGUUGGCAGAUUUCGGGUUGGUAAUUAAUGAUCUACUACCCAGCAGUCCAAUCAUGCCAAUUUCCAGAAAGAAAGAGGAAGAAUCAUAUAAUCUUCCUAAAUACACUUAUGGAUACAAGUUGAUUUCAGGCUUUGUUUAGCAGUUUGUAUUUGAAUUGUUGUCAUACUUUUCUACUCUUUGUGAAUAAAUAUUUCAUAUUUAUUAAAAACCUUCCACAUUUGUCCAAGCCAAGCCUUUACUCCAAGCAGGAGGUUUAUGAUUUUAAAUAGUAAGUGCUUAUGCUGAUUUGGAGGAUAAGGAUAACCUAAUCCAGGUGCGAAGAGGAAAAUAAAAUAAGAAAAACACAGAAGCUUAAAUUCAGACUUGUCAAAGAUAAGUCAAUACUAGGUCCGCAUUUUGAAGGUAGAAGGGAAGCAAAGUUGGUUUGUAACUUGUGAGAGAGGAAAUUGGGCCUAGCCUAGCAUUGUCGUCAAAACUCAAAAGAGAGCUCCUGUUUCUCAACCAUUUCCUUUGUCACGAUCCAAGAGCCAUCACCCAAGUAUUCUGGUCAAAGACGGAAGUCCUCAGUUUCUCCACUGUCUCUAUAUCUCAGUUCACAAUCAACUCCCACACCCCCAAAUAUCAUGUAAGAUUCAAUGAGUGAGCUUAUGAGAAGUCAAGUUGGCGCACCUUAGUCAAGUUAGCAGCAGCCAUGGUCGCUGCUGGCUGCUGUUAAGCAUCUCUUUCUCUCAUAAAUUCCGGAUAUGGUAGCAUAGCAGUCACGAGGUCCUUUUAAGGACCGUGGAAAUACCAUACCUCCGUUUUAAUAGACGUGAUGAGAUUUUGUGGUUCAGGAUUCCAAGCAUUAAUAGUAAACACAUAAUGGUCAGUUGAUUCUAAAAUUUUAUUCAUUUGAGGAUAUUGGUUAUAAUUUAUACCUUUUUUGUACUCUUAUUUUCCUACACUAAAAGUAAUAACACCUACUUGAUGUUUAAUUACUUUCGAAUCAAAAGCUUUUGGGACUUUAUGAUUGGCUUUGAAUCUGUUGUUCACAGCUUUCAAAAACAAUUUUGAAAAACUAGUUUUUAAGCACAAUUUUUAAAAACUAUUUUAUAAUUUAAAUAUAUUUUGGGUUUAUGAUUUCCAAUCCCAUAAUCUAUGUAUUUUUAGAAUUACCUUUUGUCUCCAUGAUGAUACAUGAUUCAAUGAUUCAAUGUGCUAGUGGUGCAUGGUGAGCUAGUGCAUGUUUGAAUUAUUUGCUGGAACUGGGUGUCUUUUUCUUUGUUUUUUGAGGUUGCCUCAAUGUUGGAUGACUGGAUAAUGGGCCUUAUCGAUCUCAAUUAACACAAAUCACAUACUGUUUGAGGUAAAUGUUGGUCUAAUUUUCUUGUUGAACAAGUCAGAAAAGUAUGGUGGUCAAAAGCGAAGUCCCACAAGCUUCUGAGCUAUUUCCUUUUCCAGUCUUGAGCCUCCAAUACAAGCUUGAACCCCAAGAAAUCUCUUUUAUAUAAACGGCAGAGAACAUGGAAUCCAAUCACAAGAAGCAAGCAAACCACCGAAAAGUUAAGAGUACUCUCCCAUCUACUUGCUAGAACCAGUGAGAAGAAUUGUCUCAUCUUUCCAUUUUUCUGGGUUUAGUUAAUACUAAGGUAGACAAGAAUGAGUAAAGAAAAGAACUCCGCCUCGUCCACCAUGUUCUUAAGGUUGCUGUCUUCCUUCUUCAGUUCGUCUCCGGGGAGUGGUAAGUUGAAGAGUUCAAGAAGUACAUCCUUACACACCGGGCCGGAGGCAGCAAUGGUAGCUGCUGCUAAGCAUUUCUCCUCUGCUCACAAAAUAAACUUGGGCUAGCUUCCAUUGAUAAUGGGCAGUUUGUCAGGAGUAAUGCCAGUCUCCCUGGAUGAUGAAGUCUCUCCUAUAAGAUCCGAUGCACAAAUGCUCUAUCCCAUUGGAUGUGUGCGAGAAUUUUCAAGGCAGAAGUUGAAUAACUGCAGAUUAGAUAUCAAACAUGUUGGUUCAUUUUGGGUUGGUAAUGGUCUACUACCCAGCAGUCCAACCCUGCCAAUUUCGCAGAAAGAAAGAGGAAGAAUCAUAUAAUCUUCCUAAAAGCACUUAUGGGUGCAAGUUGAUUUUAGGCUUUGUUUGGGAGUUUGUAUUAAUUUGAAUUGUUGUAAUACUUUUCUACUUUUUUCAAUAAAUAUUUUAUCUUUAUUAAAAAGCCUUCUACAUUUGUCUAAGCUUUUACUUUUCUUCAAAUACGUAAAG